GGGUUUUUAGUAUAAUUUUUAAUAUUAAUGAUUGCAGAUCAUUGGAUUUAUAGCCUU
This 57-nucleotide transfer RNA is filed under the name Setaria digitata. RNAcentral describes it as "tRNA-Cys". Lineage: Eukaryota; Metazoa; Nematoda; Chromadorea; Rhabditida; Setariidae. The record is from RNAcentral.